Melospiza melodia melodia is the source of this 674-nucleotide long non-coding RNA. RefSeq lists it as uncharacterized. The transcript is spliced from 3 exons. The record is from RefSeq and is a predicted model, not a curated record. NCBI's taxonomy places the organism in Eukaryota, Metazoa, Chordata, Aves, Passeriformes, Passerellidae.
GAAGGAGCCCGCGCGGGGCAGAAUCCGGAGGCGGCCGCCGGCCCCGCGCGCGCGGCUUCCAGAGCUCCCGUCGCUGGUUUUCCUCACAAGACAACGUUCUUUCCCCACUUCCAGCGAGCUCAGGCCGUUGACCUUCCAUUUCAUGAACGUGCGCUCCCUGCCCCCGGCUGUGAAGACGUAGCGGCCGUCGUGGGAGACGGCAAAGUCAGCGGCGCCGUCCGGGUGGCAAAUGAAGGCCGAGGACUUGUGGGGGUUGCCAUCAACAGGCAGCAUCUGCAAACCCACCUAUCAUCAUCAGUUGCUACAUACUCUGAGCCAAACUGCUUCAAUGCUGCCUCAAUACUCCUACAGCAAGACCUGGGACUGAGGGAGCAGAGCAUCAGCCAGGAGGAAAUUCCUGCUCCAGCCCCUUCUUCAGAUGGAUGCAGAGCUAAGCUUGUCACUAAAUUUAGGGACUGGGUGGUCUGCGGAGCCGCUGUGACUGGUGACGUUUUUACAGAAUGACUCUUCAAACCAGGAAAAGCAUUUUGGAGUCAGGAAGCCCCAGGGGAGGAACAGCCCUCUGCCCUGCUGCUCUGUGCCUGCAGGACGGAUGGCAAUUCCCAGUCCCUCCCAAAGCUCCCCCGCCAGCAGCACGUGUAAAUCACCGAGCGGAAAAACAAGCGUACAGCGGU